Molecule: ribosomal RNA, 270 nt
Filed under: uncultured bacterium
Lineage: Bacteria
Description: partial 16S ribosomal RNA
Rfam family: Bacterial small subunit ribosomal RNA
Source: RNAcentral
AAUCAACGCUGGCGGCGUGCCUAACACAUGCAAGUCGAGCGAGAAAGGGUAGCAAUACCUGAGUAAAGCGGCGCACGGGUGAGUAACACGUGGGUAAUCUGCCCUGGAGUGGGGAACAACACCGGGAAACCGGUGCUAAUACCGCAUACGAUCGCGAUGUCUUCGGAUGUUGCGAUGAAAGGAGCAAUUCGCUCCAGGAGGAGCCCGCGGCUGAUUAGCUAGUUGGUGAGGUAAUGGCUCACCAAGGCUACGAUCAGUAUCCGGUCUGAG